This 452-nucleotide ribosomal RNA is filed under the name uncultured bacterium. RNAcentral's name for it is "bacterial SSU rRNA". It matches the Rfam family "Bacterial small subunit ribosomal RNA", at positions 29 to 524 of the family's 1533-position model. The record is from RNAcentral.
AACGAACGCUGGCGGCAUGCCUAACACAUGCAAGUCGAACGAGACCUUCGGGUCUAGUGGCGCACGGGUGAGUAACGCGUGGGAACAUACCCUUUGGUUCGGAAUAACUCAGGGAAACUUGAGCUAAUACCGGAUACGUCCGUAAGGAGAAAGAUUUAUCGCCAAAGGAUUGGCCCGCGUCCGAUUAGCUAGUUGGUGAGGUAACGGCUCACCAAGGCUACGAUCGGUAGCUGGUCUGAGAGGAUGAUCAGCCACAUUGGGACUGAGACACGGCCCAAACUCCUACGGGAGGCAGCAGUGGGGAAUAUUGGACAAUGGGCGCAAGCCUGAUCCAGCCAUGCCGCGUGAGUGAUGAAGGCCUUAGGGGUUGUAAAGCUCUUUUGUCCGGGAAGAUAAUGACUGUACCGGAAGAAUAAGCCCCCGGCUAACUUCGUGCCAGCAGCCGCGGUAAU